CUUCUUCAGCCUGACUUGCGCCACAAGGGUCAGAAUCAUCAAACACCACCAGCACCCACACACACAGCAAGCAGGACCGAGCUGGGGCUUUCCGGGCUCCCACACCUGCCCAGAGCGAACCCUCCAGAGGCUGCUGUCCUUCCUUUGUGUCUCCCACAUCUCUGCUUUAGGACUGGACUAAGCUCCACCUGCCUAGGAGGCUAUCAACUCUAAGACGGACAGAGUUCACGUUCAAUUGAAUUGUUCUAACACUGGAGCGAUGCCCAACACCAAAAGGAUCUCAGUGGAUAUUUGCUGCAUGAUUUACUGAAUGAAUGAAUAAAAAGGCACAGUGCUAGACUCUGAAACAUCAAAGAUGACUAACAUUGCAUAUUUCCACAGAGAGUCAUAUCCUAUGUUGGAAAUGUAAACCCUGCAGCCAGUACCCAGACAUGUAAACCACAAUUUUGUUGUUGUUGUUGUUUGUUUUAGGGGACAGGGUUUCCUUGUACAGCUCUGGUUGUCCUGGAACUCACUUUGUAGACCAGGCUGGCCUGGAACUCACAGAGACACCCCCAGUCCCACCUCUGCCAUGCCUGCUCUACUGAAGAGUACUGAGAUUAAAGGCAUGCACUACUACUGC
This 622-nucleotide long non-coding RNA is filed under the name Cricetulus griseus (Chinese hamster). RNAcentral describes it as "lncRNA (ENSCGRG00015039193.1)". The record is from RNAcentral. Lineage: Eukaryota; Metazoa; Chordata; Mammalia; Rodentia; Cricetidae.